This 498-nucleotide ribosomal RNA is filed under the name uncultured bacterium. RNAcentral's name for it is "partial 16S ribosomal RNA". It matches the Rfam family "Bacterial small subunit ribosomal RNA", at positions 899 to 1397 of the family's 1533-position model. The record is from RNAcentral.
ACUCAAAGGAAUAGACGGGGACCCGCACAAGCAGUGGAGCAUGUGGUUUAAUUCGAUGCAACGCGAAGAACCUUACCCAGGUUUGACAUGCAGGGGAUAGUUCCAGAGAUGGGAUCUUCCUUAGGGACCGCUGCACAGGUGCUGCAUGGCUGUCGUCAGCUCGUGCCGUGAGGUGUUGGGUUAAGUCCCGCAACGAGCGCAACCCUUAUCACUAAUUGCCAGCACGUUGAGGUGGGAACUUUAGUGAGACUGCCUGGGUGAACCAGGAGGAAGGUGAGGAUGACGUCAAGUCCGCAUGGCCCUUAUGUCUGGGGCUACACACGUGCUACAAUGGGCGAUACAGAAGGCAGCGAAGCCGUGAGGUGUAGCAAAUCCAAAAAGUCGCCCUCAGUUCAGAUUGUAGUCUGCAACUCGACUACAUGAAGAUGGAAUUGCUAGUAAUGGCGAGUCAGCAACAUCGCCGUGAAUACGUUCCCGGGUCUUGUACACACCGCCCGU